UGGGGAAUCUUGGACAAUGGGGGCAACCCUGAUCCAGCCAUGCCGCGUGAGUGAUGAAGGCCUUAGGGUCGUAAAACUCUUUCGCUAGGGAAGAUAAUGACGGUACCUAGUAAAGAAGUCCCGGCUAACUCCGUGCCAGCAGCCGCGGUAAUACGGAGGGGGUUAGCGUUGUUCGGAAUUACUGGGCGUAAAGCGCACGUAGGCGGACCAGAAAGUUGGGGGUGAAAUCCCGGGGGCUCAACCCCGGAACUGCCUCCAAAACUAUUGGUCUAGAGUUCGAGAGAGGUGAGUGGAAUUCCAAGUGUAGAGGUGAAAUUCGUAGAUAUUUGGAGGAACACCAGUGGCGAAGGCGGCUCACUGGCUCGAUACUGACGCUGAGGUGCGAAAGUGUGGGGAGCAAACAGGAUUAG
This 410-nucleotide ribosomal RNA is filed under the name uncultured bacterium. RNAcentral describes it as "bacterial SSU rRNA". It matches the Rfam family "Bacterial small subunit ribosomal RNA", at positions 355 to 781 of the family's 1533-position model. The record is from RNAcentral.